This 71-nucleotide transfer RNA is filed under the name Actinobacteria bacterium 13_2_20CM_68_14. RNAcentral's name for it is "tRNA-Gly". It matches the Rfam family "tRNA". Rfam says of the family: Transfer RNA (tRNA) molecules are approximately 80 nucleotides in length. Their secondary structure includes four short double-helical elements and three loops (D, anti-codon, and T loops). Further hydrogen bonds mediate the characteristic L-shaped molecular structure. tRNAs have two regions of fundamental functional importance: the anti-codon, which is responsible for specific mRNA codon recognition, and the 3' end, to which the tRNAs corresponding amino acid is attached (by aminoacyl-tRNA synthetases). tRNAs cope with the degeneracy of the genetic code in two manners: having more than one tRNA (with a specific anti-codon) for a particular amino acid; and 'wobble' base-pairing, i.e. permitting non-standard base-pairing at the 3rd anti-codon position. The record is from RNAcentral. Lineage: Bacteria; Bacillati; Actinomycetota.
GCGGGCGUAGCUUAGUGGCAAAGCACCAGACUUCCAAUCUGGCAACGGGGGUUCGAUUCCCCCCGCCCGCU